GCGGUAAUACGGAGGGAGCUAGCGUUGUUCGGAAUUACUGGGCGUAAAGCGCACGUAGGCGGCUUUGUAAGUUAGAGGUGAAAGCCUGGAGCUCAACUCCAGAACUGCCUUUGAUACUGCAUGGCUUGAAUCCAGGAGAGGUGAGUGGAAUUCCGAGUGUAGAGGUGAAAUUCGUAGAUAUUCGGAAGAACACCAGUGGCGAAGGCGGCUCACUGGACUGGUAUUGACGCUGAGGUGCGAAAGCGUGGGGAGCAAACAGGAUUA
RNAcentral lists this ribosomal RNA (264 nucleotides) under Sphingomonas roseiflava. RNAcentral describes it as "partial 16S ribosomal RNA". It matches the Rfam family "Bacterial small subunit ribosomal RNA", at positions 517 to 780 of the family's 1533-position model. The record is from RNAcentral. Lineage: Bacteria; Pseudomonadati; Pseudomonadota; Alphaproteobacteria; Sphingomonadales; Sphingomonadaceae.